This 300-nucleotide ribosomal RNA is filed under the name Triticum aestivum (bread wheat). RNAcentral's name for it is "partial small subunit ribosomal RNA". Lineage: Eukaryota; Viridiplantae; Streptophyta; Magnoliopsida; Poales; Poaceae. The record is from RNAcentral.
AUGCACGGUUCAACAGUUAUUAAAUGCAUGAUGCUGGGGGAGGGGGGGUUCUGCAAAACUACAAUCCUGCAGAUAAAAGCUAAAUUCGCACAGACUGAAAAAAACACUACUGGGCUGAAAUCUGGGACAAGCCCAACACUGCACAGGGGCUGGAGGGGGGCUUCUCACAUUGGGCUUGGCCCAGUUGGUGCUGGGCUGGAAUCUGACUGGAGAGGCCUGGGCCUCAGCGCCCUGCUGGGCCGCGACGAGGCACAAGGCGAGGCCGGCCUAGGCACUCGAUCGGGAAACACCAGCGGCUAG